Cyprinus carpio carpio is the source of this 1639-nucleotide long non-coding RNA. NCBI's taxonomy places the organism in Eukaryota, Metazoa, Chordata, Actinopteri, Cypriniformes, Cyprinidae. The record is from Ensembl.
AAGGACUAGGUCAAACGGGGUCCUUAUUUGGGUCCUCGAGUUUAGUAAGUAAAUAAUUAGCAAGCAGAGCUGAAAUAAAUUAGAAUUUAACACUGAAUGUGGUUUAAGUUUAAAUAAGUCAAGGAUGAAAGUGAACUAGAGAGGCAGGCUAUGCCAUUUUCGCUUACAACCGUUUCCAACAGGAAAGCAGUGGAGGAGAGGAGCUCCUUAAGGAAGCCAGCAGAGCAAAAGUCCGUGCUGGGACGAUGGGUCCUACUGGAUGGAUUAAAUGUCUCCUGCUGUGACGCGUUUGUCUUCAGAUCAGCUCGCUUCUGAGAGAGAAAAACAUCGAAACACGGACUGUGAAAAGAAGUGCAACCACAAAAGAGUUCAUUCACACGGAAGAUACCGCUCCGAGUCUCAUUCACACACUUCAAAACACCGCUCUUCCUCACGCGGUCACCAUCCGGAGGACACGCCCCCCCACCUCCCCCGGAAGUCAGAAAGUAGUGCGGGACAGGUCUCCAGAGGUCAGAAAAUACACUGACAGUGGGGGGAAUAAUGUAACGGGCUUUGUUUUGACCACACAUUAGAUCUCUACAUGAACACACCUAUGAAUUCCUACAAUUCUGCUAAUUUCCAUUUGCCAUUAAAGGUGCUGAACAAUAAUAUUAAAUAGCAUUUUUUAAAACUAAAAGACGGAAUUCGAUUAUUGGGAGAGACUGUGAAUAUCAUUGUGACUUGAAAGGACGAUUUUCAGAGCUAUUUUAAUACGUCAUUGUGUAUUGCAAGUUUCUCCUCAGGCUUGUUUCUUUUUUUAUUUAUAGAAAUGUAUUGAAAUGUAUUGUUUGUAUAAACACAUACUUUGUGUGUGUGUGUGAAUACAGUCACACACGAAGUAGGAUAUAUGUUUAUAUAUUAUGUGUUUACGUUGUAUAAUUUAUAUUUUUUCAAAAAUGAUAUUUUGUUAAUGAAUAAAUGAUUAUGAUGAUAACGUUUAGAAUGAACGUUUGUGAAAUAAACGCGAGUGUUUGUGGGAGAUGUUUCCGUCAUUAAGUGCGUGGUUCCGGAAUGAAUUAUUGCGCCUGAGAUUUUCCUCAAUGUGCGGCUUGAAUUCCAGUUUAAAUGUCAUUAUCAUUCCUUUGCGGGGGGUUGACAUGUUUGCCCAAGCUUUACUGUCACUACUAAGCGAGCAUAUUUUAUCGCCGUUUGAUCUCUGCCACUGUUAUUAUUUCUUAUUGAAGAGUCUGAAAAGUAAAAAGGCUUAGUUUCUGUGAUUCACCUGAUUACUCGCACCUCACAUGUGAUGUGAUAGGAAAUUUAAAUCAAAAUGCACGAAUUUAAUUUAAAAAAACAAAACAAACCAGCAACUUAUUUAAGAGUGUUGCCAAAACUGCGUUUUCUUUUGUUUUGUAAGACGAAGCAUCCUGUGGGUGUAGGCCAUCGGGUUUAUCAACAUCUGAUUGUGGUUUUACAUAACGCAAUUGUAGCAUUGAUUUAUCUGAACUCCCAUUAUCGAGUCGCACUUGGACAUUUAUAGCUACACAUUACUCCUACUCAAACAUACAAGUGGUUUCAACGUUUUUGCUCGUCUCCUAACUGGUUUAUUGCGUUUUAUCUGAAGUCUCAAACCCCAUUUUAAUUGCUAGCCGAUUUUAUG